UUGAGAAGGGGAGCAAGACUCGAUUUGCCUUUGUCUUUGUAGCUAAAGAAGUUAAGGCAAUCUCUGAAGUUGAUCAAGAGGACCCACCACAAAUAUAAUAGCUCCUCUUAGACUUUGAGGAUGUGAUCCUAGAGAACCUACCAAAAAGACUUCUUUCCUUAAGGAACAUAUAGCAUGUCAUUGAUUUUGUCCUAUGAGUACUAUUAUCCAACCUUCCACACUAUUGGAAAAAGCCUCUUCAAACAUGAAGAACUAAAGCAAUAGGUGGAAGGAUGGUUGAAGAAAGCAUUCAUCUCAGAGAGCCUACACAUAUGGAGUCCUACACUAACUCAUCUCCAAAAUAGAUAGAUCUUGGAAGGUCUACAUAGGCAGUGGAGAAAUCAA
Molecule: long non-coding RNA, 384 nt
Filed under: Phoenix dactylifera (date palm)
Lineage: Eukaryota; Viridiplantae; Streptophyta; Magnoliopsida; Arecales; Arecaceae
Description: long non-coding RNA (PDAC_LNC002255)
Source: RNAcentral